Long non-coding RNA from Lepidothrix coronata (blue-crowned manakin), 5234 nucleotides. RefSeq lists it as uncharacterized. The transcript is spliced from 5 exons. Lineage: Eukaryota; Metazoa; Chordata; Aves; Passeriformes; Pipridae. The record is from RefSeq and is a predicted model, not a curated record.
AACCAGUUAGACACUGCCUGGCCAAGUUAUUCAUUAUGUACCUUGUUCCCUUAGGCUCUUUUUCAAGUUCUGGAGAACAGAGAAGAAAACUGUUAUGCCCACUCUGUGGAACAUUUCAGUACAGCACCACCUUUUUUUUUUUUCUUCAUUUAAAGUCAAAAUGCAAAAUGCGUUUCCCCCCCCCAUUCUCAUCUUACAGCCACCUCAGUUGGCAGACAUUGGUUUAGAGAGAAGAGAUUGGACUUCUGGUGAAAUAAAGGACAAGUGCAAAAGUUCACUUGGUCAAAGUAAGCGUGGAGAAAAACCCAGUAUAGAGCACAAGUCUGCCAGGAGAACUUCAGAGUAAAUCUUAGAAGCUCUCAAGCAGCAAACGAAACAGCAGGAAAAAAGUCAACAAUUAAAUUCAAUCUGUGAACCAGCAGCAGCAGAGGACAAUAGAAGGUGGUGUUGGACAGGCCAAAAAACUACCAGUGUUUCUCAUCCACUUAGAAUUUCAACAGUCAGCCGAAAACAAUGGGGAGAAAGGAGCAUCAAGCAAAAUAAACAAUCGUAUUUCCCUUCAGACAAGGGACAGUCUUCUAUUUCACCUGCAGAAUUCAUUACUUCUGAUGUGAAGACCCUUCUUUCCACAGCUCUAAGUCACUAAUUAUAUUUGCCUUUUAUAGUGUGAGGCAUCAGGAAUAAGAAAGAACUUUAUUUUUCCAAAGCCAAACAAGUUCUUUUUUAAAUCUGCAACUUCUCCAAGUUAAUACACACAAAAAGACUUAAGAGGAAUUCAUUCGUGUAACAGAGAAAAAGUACUGGUGCUACCCAGCUGUGCUCCUUAGCUGCUGACAGUAGUAGCUUUAGACUCAGUAGCGAGGAGGGACUUACACUGGUCACUCGGCGGUAGAUCUGCGCAGCAUUUUGGCACUCGGAAUAAGGAUACUCAGACGUGGCCAUCUCUAGCAUACACAUCCCAAAAGCAUAUACAUCAACGGAUUCAUCAUAUUUCUCCUCAUACAUCUCGGGGGCCAUGAACUCUGGGGUACCUUAAAUUAAAAGAACGAUUCAGACUCUAAAUGUCUCAAAGCGAGCAGAGGCUGCUGGCGUUACUCACCGCAGGAGGGAGCGGAUGGGCAGACCUGUGAGACAAGAGAAAGUGGAGGCAAAAAGAAGAGGGAGGAAACCCUUAGUGACUCUGUUGCAUCAACACACUCUGUGAGUCUUCCAUUGCAAGGCCUUUGUGGAAUAAGAAUGGCGUGAAAGGACUGCCGCAAGUCCUGGCUUAGAUUAGAGAUGCCACAAGGUGAAUAACCUUAUGACAGCAUUCAAGUGCUUUCCAGCAGUGUUUUCUCACAACUUCUCUUUGGGUAACACAAUUUGAAGUGAAGAGCUGUUUUCUUCCUUUUGAAGAAGUACAGGUUGAAAUACAUUCAGGGGAAAGGAAGUAGCAUGCUCUGUAGAGCAAGGACUUUAUUCUUAUUCAGCCCGUGUUACUCAGUCAAAGUCUCAGAUAAAGACCAGUUCCACAGUAUUGCAAGACUGGUAGUAAAUUCUGUGACCAGCAUGGAGUCUAGCAACUACAGUCUUCAACUAACAGCAAGUCAUGUUCAAUUAUUCUGUGGUACUGUUCAGUUUACUCUGCAUAUCCACUUAAUCAGGAGAUAAAGUCUAGAUGAAAUCACUUGAAUCAUUGCCAACAUAAAAAUGCAGUGUAUUAAUCCCUUUUACUUUCAUUUCUCCAGUUCAAAAGAAGAUCUGGAAACUCAAGUUGCUAGCAAUAAUCCUGCUGUGAAAAUAGAUCUGUAAAAGCAAGUGGGACACAGUUCCAGAGGAAAUCAAGUCUUAGAAUAUAAAGACAGGUAGGGAAAAAGCCAAGCCAAGGAAGGAGACAAACUGAAGGAGGUUCUGAAUCACAUCAGCUACCACUUGAAUUCUUGCUAUUGACACAACCCUCAUUCAUCUCUCUCGAGCCUGAUCCAAAGAUCACAUGGUAGGGGCACUUCAGUUCAGCAUCUGGAAUCCCUAAUUACAUUCUUGGUUUCAAAUAUGCUUGCCUACUGCCAGCUCUUCAUUGCUAAAGGACCUGGGUCCAACCAUCACCCAGCAUCCCACAGUGCUGCCAUCAGUUUUCCACAACACUGUCCUGAACUAAGUCACAUGCCACUUAAGGCAGAAAUCAAUUUAAAACAGAAGCACAUAUAAAUACAUAAAGAUACACAGACAACCCUACUAGCCAGUAUGUUUUCAAUUUUCCUAGUAUCAUUGGAUAACUCAGUCUUGAAGAGACCUCAGGAGGUUUCUAGUCUAAGCUUCUGCAAUUAGAAUUACCUACAGCAUCUCAGCUCAAGGAGCUACAGGAACCCCUACUGAAUUAGCAGAGGUAGUUAUGAAGGUAUGUGCCCUACCAGAGAGCUGACACAUUCAUUUAAAGUGGAUCAGGAACACAACACUAGACACACUUUUAUCCAGACCUUAGACAGAACCAAUGGCUGAGACCUAAGUCAGAUUAAACACUGUUGUCUUCAUUAACAGUAUAAUUAAAAUUUCAAAUUGACAACUCCAUUUUUCCCAAUAUUUUAAUUCCAUGACAGCAUACAAUAUCAGAAAGCAGUCUUAUUCUUUACAAAAUUCAGUUGUAAAACUUUUCCAUUCAUAUACAGAAGUUUGGGCACUUUCCCUCGUGCAAAAUUAGAAAAUUGCUCAGACAGCAUCUGAAAAGAAGCAGUCCACAAAAUUUUAACAUUAUUUCUGGGUAUUUAUGUAUCAAUGUAUACAAAUACAAAAAACCACGAGAGAAAAUUUACUUUAAGAUAUCUCUACACUUCAUUUUUUUACAUCAAGUGACAACAAUAUCUAUGUCCCAAGUCUCAAAAUGAGGAAAGUAACACUUUUAUAAAAUGCAGGUAAUGUAAAAAUACUGAAAAAAAACAAGAUAUGCAAGUAAUAUUCGGUCAGCCAAAUAUCAUAAGCUAACACAAGUGUGCAGUGUAGAUUUAGGAAUGUGACACAAACAUGUGAAAUACUUAAUGAUAUUAAAUUUGGCACACCAGAAAUUUCCCAUAUAUAUAGUUUACCUGUCAAGUCUCAAGUGAAGUGGGCAAGCAUAAACUAAAUCACAAUUAUAACACAAGCUAUGCAAGAGUGGGGAAAAAAACCCACCCAGAACUCUACAGCUUAAAAGAUCUUUGAUUAAACAAACAACCUGUUACUUCUUUCUGGAUAAAAUAAAAAUACUUUCAUACUUCAAAGCACAAAAUAAUCCUAGAGACAGCAAAUCUGAGGUAUUUCGUCCUACCAACACCCUACUUCAUAAUUGCCUAUUACUACUUUAUCAUCUCACUUAUGCCACCACAUAACAAGCCAAUCCAAAUAUUAAAAUCUGUGAGAAGGAUAAAGGAGUAAGAAAGGCAGGAAAAAAAUUAAAUCUAACACUAUAUGUUUAGCAUAAAAUUAAGUAUCUUUAUUUAAAGGCAUCUUUACAGAGCUGCUUACUUUUUUACUGCUCUGAAAACAGCACAUGAAGCAACAGAUCUAUUAUUUUAUCUGAAAUACCCUAAACAACCUUCAAAAUAUCUUCACUGAACAUAAGGAUAAAGAAUGUUGUGGUAUCCUUAGUCCUCCAGUACUAUUUUAAGAGACAAACACUUCCCUGUAAUUGCAGUCCAGACUCCCAAAGAGCCAUUUUUUUUCCUCUUUAAGAAUGUCCAUUUGUGGCUAUCAAUAAGCAUCAUAAAAACACAAGACAUUCAUGGGCUAUUUUAACCAAAUAGAUGGCAAAUUGUUUCCAGCUCCCACAGCCUGCUUACACAUUUAGGAUUUGAAUGCCUCUCCAAGACUUAAAUGGGCACUGAAAGAAGACAGCGACCCACAGCCCGUUUAUCCCAAAGGCUGGUAGUUCUAUUUCCAGCAAGGAAGGGUGACUGGGUGCCGGCGGUGUGAGCUCUCUGUGAGCCCCCGCGGGCCCCGCGCACCACUAGAGGCCCUCGCAGCAGCUCCAUUUCCUGCACUCUGCUUUUAACUCUGCCUUAAAGACACACCCAGGGUCCCUCAGCUGCCUCACAGGUUGGAGCUGCAGGCACCUGCAUACUUUGAUUUUUGUUAGGUACUGCUUCACCAAGCUUCAGCUAAACAAAUAGGUAAAUAGGUGGUGAUUUUUUUUUCCUUUUUACAUAUUAUUUGUACUGCUCUAACACCCAAAGCCUCCCAAAAGAGAUGCAUUAAUUCGUACUUUGAACUUUACAAACCACCUCAUGCUAAAUGGAAGGCAGCUGGAGAGGAAAAAGAAAAAUUCUGAGAAGUGAAAAGAGAGUAUUGUCUUCCUGAGGUCUUAAAAUCCAGAAGUUUUCUGUAUGUGCUUACUAGGACAUCACAAGGAAGAAUCUGACAAGCCUCUUUAACAAGAAUGUUCCUACAGGGCGUUAGCCCUCAGCAAAAGGGCUCUAUUCUUACGUAUUCUGAAAUAUCAUCUAUUUCUAGGGCUCUGAUUCUGUGCUAAUGAAGCUUAAAUACUUUGACAUGUCUUAAUUUACUUACGUUUUCAGUGUUCCAGACGUCAUUAGUUCCGUCACAAGAACAAUACACUUUUUUCCUUUGACUGUAGACUCCCAGGAAUCAUAGAACCUGACAAUAUUGGGGUGCUGAAGCCCUUUCAGCAUCCCAGCUUCCUCUUUAAAUCGUUGUCGCUCUGACUUGGACAGCUUCCGAUCCUAAUGAAAAAGAAAAGGUACAUCAGAAAGCUUUGCUUAAAUUUUCUUAUUCAGAGAAGCAGCAACUUGAAAAACACUUGAGUACAUCCAGGAAUCAGCUUUCUUAAAUGCCAUUUAGCUCACAAUUAUUUUUAAAAUAUGCUAUCUUGAGCACAUUCUAUUACAGUCUUUUUACAAUAUAUUCUUCCUUACAAUCCCAUUGCUCUUGGAGUUAAGAAUUGCAAGUCUGUAGAUUAACUCCUCCUCCUGUCUCCUCUUCCCUUACUCUUAAUAAAUUUAGUCAUUGCCUUGAGCUGGAAAGGGCAUGUACUGUUUUGAACAUUUCGGUGUUUGAGGAUAAAAUCAGAUCAUUUAAAGCAUGUUGUACACAACAAUAAUCUUCCAUCAUUCCUAUGUAUCCAGCCCACUGGUAACAGAUGGCAUUAGCCCUCCAUACAGGGGGUAGAGCAUCAAACCUCUCUAACAUACAGUAUGUACGUAUGUACAUACUGUAAAUAAUCAAGUGAAUGAGUUGGUGUUUCUUUGAUUAAAAGCAGAAACUCA